Molecule: ribosomal RNA, 253 nt
Filed under: uncultured bacterium
Lineage: Bacteria
Description: partial 16S ribosomal RNA
Rfam family: Bacterial small subunit ribosomal RNA
Source: RNAcentral
UACGGCGGUGGCUAGCGUUGUUCGGAAUUACUGGGCGUAAAGCGCACGUAGGCGGACCGGACAGUCAUAGGUGAAAUCCCAGGGCUCAACCUUGGAACUGCCUUUGAAACUAUCGGUCUGGAGUUCGAGAGAGGUGAGUGGAAUUCCGAGUGUAGAGGUGAAAUUCGUAGAUAUUCGGAGGAACACCAGUUGCGAAGGCGGCUCACUGGCUCGAUACUGACGCUGAGGUGCGAAAGCGUGGGGAGCAAACAGG